This is a long non-coding RNA of Oncorhynchus keta (chum salmon), 780 nucleotides long. RefSeq lists it as uncharacterized. NCBI's taxonomy places the organism in Eukaryota, Metazoa, Chordata, Actinopteri, Salmoniformes, Salmonidae. The record is from RefSeq and is a predicted model, not a curated record. The transcript has 3 exons.
GACACACACACACACAGUGGACACACACACACACACUGGACACACACACUGGACACACACACACACACACACACUGGACACACACACACACACACACACACACACACACACACACGGCUUCCCUAUAAUUGUGAGGACCUUGACACAGGACCUUCAAAUGAGGACCAUCAUUUCUGAACAAACAGACACAUUUUUCCAUCACUAAGUGGUCCCAUAAACACAGAUAUCACUUAACCUGAAAAACUCCAAUGGAGAAAUAGCCAUGCAGAGCAACAGUCUAGUGAGGACCAGUGGUUGCUAGGCAGUUCCUGUAUCAAAGGUUCUAGAACAGCUUCUAUCCCAGUUCUAUCUGCCUGUUAAAUCAGUUUCUGGAUCACAGGUUCUAGAACAGCUUCUAUCCCAGUUCUAUCUGUCUGUUAAAUCAGUUUCUGGACCACAGGUUCUAGAACAGCUUCUAUCCCAGUUCUAUCUGUCUGUUAAAUCAGUUUCUGGACCACAGGUUCUAGAACAGCUUCUAUCCCAGUUCUAUCUGUCUGUUAAAUCAGUUUCUGGACCACAGGUUCUAGAACAGCUUCUAUCCCAGUUCUAUCUGUCUGUUAAAUCAGUUUCUGGACCACAGGUUCUAGAACAGCUUCUAUCCCAGUUCUAUCUGUCUGUUAAAUCAGUUUCUGGACCACAGGUUCUAGAACAGCUUCUAUCCCAGUUCUAUCUGUCUGUUAAAUCAGUUUCUGGACCACAGGUUCUAGAACAGCUUCUAUCCCAGUUCUAUCUGUCUAAAUC